This 254-nucleotide ribosomal RNA is filed under the name uncultured bacterium. Its description in RNAcentral is "partial 16S ribosomal RNA". It matches the Rfam family "Bacterial small subunit ribosomal RNA", at positions 524 to 776 of the family's 1533-position model. The record is from RNAcentral.
UACGUAGGGUGCAAGCGUUGUCCGGAAUUAUUGGGCGUAAAGAGCUCGUAGGCGGUUUGUCGCGUCGGAUGUGAAAACCUUGAGGCUCAACCUCAGGCCUGCAUUCGAUACGGGCAAACUAGAGUUUGGUAGGGGAGACUGGAAUUCCUGGUGUAGCGGUGGAAUGCGCAGAUAUCAGGAGGAACACCAAUGGCGAAGGCAGGUCUCUGGGCCAAUACUGACACUGAGGAGCGAAAGUCUGGGGAGCGAACAGG